This is a long non-coding RNA of Oncorhynchus kisutch (coho salmon), 712 nucleotides long. RefSeq lists it as uncharacterized. Lineage: Eukaryota; Metazoa; Chordata; Actinopteri; Salmoniformes; Salmonidae. The record is from RefSeq and is a predicted model, not a curated record. The transcript has 2 exons.
CUUGCUUCUUUCCAAAGGCACCACCUGCCUCCCUCACCGAGCCUCCUCCACCGCCUCCCUUUCCUGCUCCUUUGCCCAGCUCACCCAGCUAGAGAGGGAGAGAUAUCAAAUCACCGCUCGGGUCUCCCACGGGAAAAAAACUAACAUGUCACUAUCUGAGGGUUCAUGCCAGGAUUUUUUUCGAGACCUGAUAUUGAAGAACAUUCAACAUGAGGCCUAUGUUUUUCAUCUGCACUGGCUUGGGAGAAAAAAAACAGACAUUUCAGUGUGAGUCCUAUUUGAUUGAUUUUCUCUCUACUAAAUGCGAAGGAAUUACAUGUAUUUCAAAUAUGUAUUUUGUAUGUUUUAUUACACUGGGCUGAACUACACUGUAAUCUAUUUUGUAACCAGAUACUUUCUAAAGCUGUAAUAUGUAUUUUCAAAAUACAAUUUGUUUUUGGUACAUAUUUGUAUCUUUAUUUUUUUUAAUUAUAACUGGUUUGGCAUGUAUUUGUUUUGUGAGGGCUGUUUACCAGGUUUAUUUGCCAUUAAGUAGUAUGCUUUCUUUUGAGUUUAACCUAUAGUUGUUGGCGCUCUUCAAAAGGUUAAGAUCACAUUCCUGCUUAAAUUCAGACAUUUUAUUUUUUGAUGGUCUUUUUCUAAAAUAGUGAUUUAUUUUUCUUUCAUUUCUAACUCAGAUGUACAGUAACUUUUGACGAGUAUGAGAUUAUCA